Molecule: long non-coding RNA, 344 nt
Organism: Cyprinus carpio carpio
Lineage: Eukaryota; Metazoa; Chordata; Actinopteri; Cypriniformes; Cyprinidae
Source: Ensembl
CAAGAAUAAAAGUUAUGUCUUCUUUCUUUGUGUAUACAUUUGGGCGGUGAAACUCUGCCCCCAGAGGCUGACGUAGAUUUGUGGGGGCGUGUACGCAUUAGUUCCCGGGCACCAACACAGGAUCCACACUUAAUUUUAAGUGGUCAGUUUUUGUGUAUUUUCAGUAUAAGUACAGUUAGUUCCUGGGUAUCAACACAGGUUCCACACUUUAUUUUAGGUGGUCGGUUUUUGUGUAUUUUCAGUGUAAGUAUGCAUUAGUUCCCAGGUAUCAACACAGGUUCCACACUUUAUUUUAAGUGGUCAGUUUUUGUGUAUUUUCAGUGUAAGUACGCAUUAGUUCCCGG